RNAcentral lists this ribosomal RNA (451 nucleotides) under uncultured bacterium. RNAcentral describes it as "bacterial SSU rRNA". It matches the Rfam family "Bacterial small subunit ribosomal RNA", at positions 354 to 796 of the family's 1533-position model. The record is from RNAcentral.
GUCGAGGAUCUUGGACAAUGCGCGAAAGCGUGAUCCAGCGACGCCGCGUGCAGGAUGACGGCCUUCGGGUUGUAAACUGCUGUCGUGAGGGAGCAAUAGCGUGGGGGCUAACACCCUCUGCGCAUGAUAGUACCUCAGGAGGAAGACACGGCUAACUCUGUGCCAGCAGCCGCGGUAAUACAGAGGUGUCGAGCGUUGUUCGGAUUUACUGGGCGUAAAGGGUGCGUAGGCGGACUCGUGUGUCGGAUGUGAAAGCCUGCUGCUUAACGGCAGAACGGCAUCCGAAACUACGGGUCUAGAGUUCGGGAGAGGAAGGCGGAAUUCCAGGUGUAGCAGUGAAAUGCGUAGAUAUCUGGAGGAACACCCGUGGCGAAGGCGGCCUUCUGGACCGACACUGACGCUGAGGCACGAAGGCUGGGGGAGCAAACAGGAUUAGAAACCCUUGUAGUCC